GCACAGCUGUGCGGGUGUGGUUGGUGUUUCUGUUCUCUAUCGCUGGAGGUCCUUUUAGCACGUUCCCGAGAGAAGCUGGGGUUCGGAGCCUGGCAUUUGCUGCGCAGUUCUCUGUCGGAGAGGCUCCUGGGGCUCAGGCCUGCAAACCUUUGAGCUCGGAUAGGUGUAGUUGAGAACCAUGGAGCAUAUUCUUUGCCUAACCUUACUAGGAAUUCUCAGUCUGCAUUGUCAGCUCUUUAUCAGGAAAAUUGCCUCCCCAGAAAGCUGAUGUCCACACUAAGCCUCCCAGCUGGAGGAGUAAUUAAUAACGUAAAUAGCAGAGCUAACCCAGAUGUUGUACUGAACUGAUACCUGGUCCCACCCAGCCUGGAACCUGAGGGAGUCAGAGAGGCUUCUCCUCAGACAGCCCUGAUUCCAGAAUGUGACUUCAGCCCUCAGAGCCUGGCUUGAUGAUGCUGUGCCCAUACCCACCACUGGAGGACAGGCUAGCGGUCCAGCAUUAAGGGCCAUGAGUUCAGAGCCUGGUUUGAGCAGGAUACAGGCAAAGAAAGGCCAGACUUGGGAAUCAUAAGUUUAGUGAAGACAGGAGGAGGACUGGACCAAGGAGCUAAUUUCCUGAGUUGUUUCUCAUUGUCAGGUAAGACAGGCCUUAGCAGCAUGGUAGCAAAAAGGGACUGAUGGUAAAAAGAAGUUCAGGGAGCCCUACAGAUAGAAGCCAGCUCUCUCAGCCUCUCUGGAAUAGUCCAAAGCCUAUGGUACAAUGUCAUCCAGAUCUGUCCUCAGUUAUUCUUAUUUUCAUCUCCCUCUGGUUUGUCUCCUAUUCUUGCUUGCAAAGUUUGUCAUUCUUCUUCAGCCCCACAGACAUCAACAUCUUUGGAUCCUGAGCCUCUCUGUGGCAGUUGCCACACUGAAGUCAUCAGCCCAGAGCAAACUGGACUGUGUGGGGAAGCAGGAAAGAUAGAGUUUGACCCAGCUAACCUCAGGGUGUGACCUCCUGGGUUCUGCCAUCUCUUCAUUUACUUAAAAUGGGCCUUCCAGUGACUAUUUCCAGGAAUCUCACUAGUUAGCCAGCUCUGAUAGGGCCUUCUCCUAAGGGUAUACUAUUUUAAUGAUUCCAUUUUUCCCUGUUUUUCCGUGCCUGAGAACACAGCCUGGCCAAGAAAGUGGAGUAGUGCUCAACUAUCAUUGGUGUGCAGUUGGGUUUUCCUCUUAUCUGGCCUUUCUUCAAUGUGUCAUUUGUCAUGCUGAAGUAGAAAGAAGAUAGCUUCAACUACUGAAGCUUGGGGAGCUGAAAAACUGUAGGAUCUGCAAGUCCAUCCUGUUCCUGGUGGGGCAGCAGCUGGACUCAAGAGGGAAUGGUACUAGCAACACUACACAGGUGGUUUGCACAAACUAGGAG
Molecule: long non-coding RNA, 1399 nt
Organism: Heterocephalus glaber (naked mole-rat)
Lineage: Eukaryota; Metazoa; Chordata; Mammalia; Rodentia; Bathyergidae
Source: Ensembl